GAUGAAGAACGUAGCGAAAUGCGAUACCUGGUGUGAAUUGCAGAAUCCCGCGAACCAUCGAGUCUUUGAACGCAAGUUGCGCCCGAGGCCACCCGGCCGAGGGCACGCCUGCCUGGGCGUCACGCCAAAACACGCUCCCACCCCCCCUCACCGGGGGAGCGGGACGCGGCGUCUGGCCCCCCGUGCCGCGAGGCGCGGUGGGCCGAAGAUCGGGCUGCCGGCGUACCGUGCCGGGCACAGCGCGUGGUGGAUCUCUACUCGGCGCAGUGCACCCGGCGCGUAGCCGGUGCAGCGGCCCCUAAGGACCCAACGAACGGAGCGCGAGCCGCUCCGACCGCGACCCCAGGUCAGGCGGGACUACCCGCUGAGUUUAAGCAUAUCAAUAAGCGGAGGA
Molecule: unclassified non-coding RNA, 394 nt
Filed under: soil metagenome
Description: partial contains 5.8S ribosomal RNA, internal transcribed spacer 2, and large subunit ribosomal RNA
Rfam family: 5.8S ribosomal RNA (bases 1-122)
Source: RNAcentral